GAGACACCUUUAUGAAGCAGGACUUUCUUCAGUGGGGCUUUGGUGCUCACUGAGUCUGCCCCUUGAGUGUGUUGCU
Myotis lucifugus (little brown bat) is the source of this 76-nucleotide non-coding RNA. The record is from Rfam. NCBI's taxonomy places the organism in Eukaryota, Metazoa, Chordata, Mammalia, Chiroptera, Vespertilionidae.